This 253-nucleotide ribosomal RNA is filed under the name uncultured bacterium. RNAcentral describes it as "partial 16S ribosomal RNA". It matches the Rfam family "Bacterial small subunit ribosomal RNA", at positions 524 to 776 of the family's 1533-position model. The record is from RNAcentral.
UACAGAGGGUGCGAGCGUUAAUCGGAAUUACUGGGCGUAAAGCGUGCGUAGACGGUUAUCUAAGUCGGAUGUGAAAGCCCCGGGCUCAACCUGGGAAUUGCAUUCGAGACUGAAUAGCUAGGGUACGGUAGAGGGAAGUGGAAUUUCCGGUGUAGCGGUGAAAUGCGUAGAUAUCGGAAGGAACACCAGCGGCGAAGGCGGCACUCUGGGCUGGAACUGACGCUGAGGAGCGAAAGCGUGGGUAGCAAACAGG